AAACUGCAUCAAGCUUAAGGACUUCGGCUCUCGAGUGAGAAAGAUUCCAGGAGGUCUUAGGAUAUUGGGGAGAUGCCAAACAUCUGGAGUUUGUGAAGGAGAGGGAGGAAUCUCCAUGCUUGACUAACUUAAUCUUCAUGUGUCCAAGGGGAGGCUCAGCAUCAUGCGGCUGGAGGGAUCUGUAGUCUGUCCGCUUGGCAGACACCUGUUGAGUGCUACAGAAUCAUGCAGGAUGCUCCACCUGUGUAAUCAAGAGAUAGAAGCAAAGUGAUCUUGUUGUCUUAGUGCUCCUUUUCUCCAUCCCUUUUUACUUCACGCCAUAAAUCCUGAUCUGAUUAUGCUGCUCUACAAACCUUUGACAACCCCUUACUCACAGCAGCUUUUCCAAAGUCUGUCUCACAGAAGAUACACCCGAGAGACAGUCUUAUAAAAACAAUUUUGUGGUUUGACUCACAACAGCCAUUAAUAUAGUAAAGGCUCAUAAAAGACCUGCAGAAUGUCUUCUAUUUAACUUUAUUUAGUCCAGCAUUUUUCAAAUUCAGGAACUAUCCAUUCUCUCUGUCCCAUUUUUCCCUCUUUGCACAUGUUUGGCAGG
This 595-nucleotide long non-coding RNA is filed under the name Pan troglodytes (chimpanzee). RNAcentral describes it as "lncRNA (ENSPTRG00000053523.1)". The record is from RNAcentral. Lineage: Eukaryota; Metazoa; Chordata; Mammalia; Primates; Hominidae.